GGAGAUUAGUAUGGAAAAUCUUGAAUUUGUACUUUUGUUGUAAAUUUUGGAUAAAAUGAAUACAAAUUGAAUGGAAUUGUCAUUUUUAUCUGUUUUAAUGGAACUGUUUAUUAUUCUUUUUAAAUGAGAUAAGAUAUGACUGGAUACAGGUUGUUUAUUAGGCCUUAUCUGAAAGAAGUAGAGAAAGAGGUAAACCAGCAUGUAGGGGUGGGGACAAAAAAUGAUCCAUGUUUCUUUAAGUAAUGGAGACAUACAAGUAUUUAUUAUAGCCAAGGUUUUGACAAUAACCCAGUAUUGCAUUAAUAGUGUCAUAAGAAUUCUUUAUAGCUUUAUGUCACAGUAUAGGGAAAACGGUAGUAUUACAUUUUCCUAGCAUUAGGUUGGCCUUUUGUGUACCCAAGACAGGUGAAGGAAGUCAACUUAGGAGCGCCGUGAUUGGAUGUAAGGGUACAAUAUAUUUUUUUUAUUUAUCUAUGAAUAACUGCAGUGUUUAUAUUUACAAUAUAAAUUUUAAAACCUAUUGAAAUAUUUUCUAGAGAAUUAUUCGAAAAGGCUUUCAAAAUUUUAUAAAUUUGCUGCAAAAUGACGGUGGGCAUGGAUAACAUAAACAAGCUCCGUUGGAAAUUGGUCAUGAUACUAUUUGGCUUCAAUUUUUAAAAUAGAGUUAUAAAGUACUAACACCACACAUAACUGUUUUAUCCAGGUUUUUAUUAUAAAAAGUGGUAAAAUUAGAAAAUGUUAGUAUUGUCGCCUAUGGCAGAAUAAAUAGUACCGUUUUCCUACAAA
RNAcentral lists this long non-coding RNA (786 nucleotides) under Mytilus galloprovincialis (Mediterranean mussel). Lineage: Eukaryota; Metazoa; Mollusca; Bivalvia; Mytilida; Mytilidae. The record is from RNAcentral.